Non-coding RNA from Punica granatum (pomegranate), 218 nucleotides. NCBI's taxonomy places the organism in Eukaryota, Viridiplantae, Streptophyta, Magnoliopsida, Myrtales, Lythraceae. The record is from Rfam.
AAAACCUUACUUGAACAAGAUAUGUUCUCUAGGCUCGUACCUCUGUGUCCUUGACGUCUAAAGAGAUAGGAAUCUAAAUUUGGUGGAUGAAUCAUGGUCAUGUGACCAGAGUAUGAGUAACAGGCGCCGCUCUUCCUCAUCCAAGUGAAGCAGCUGUAGAGGAUCGUUCUCAGCCCUCAACCGAGGGUUUGAGUGGUCUCAUGGUUGUCUGACAUAUU